AACGAACGCUGGCGGCAUGCCUAACACAUGCAAGUCGAACGAGACCUUCGGGUCUAGUGGCGCACGGGUGCGUAACGCGUGGGAACCUGCCCUUAGGUUCGGAAUAACUCCCCGAAAGGGGUGCUAAUACCGGAUAAUGUCUUCGGACCAAAGAUUUAUCGCCUUUGGAUGGGCCCGCGUUGUAUUAGCUAGUUGGUAGGGUAAAAGCCUACCAAGGCGACGAUCCAUAGCUGGUCUGAGAGGAUGAUCAGCCACACUGGGACUGAGACACGGCCCAGACUCCUACGGGAGGCAGCAGUGGGGAAUAUUGGACAAUGGGCGAAAGCCUGAUCCAGCAAUGCCGCGUGAGUGAUGAAGGCCUUAGGGUUGUAAAGCUCUUUUACCCGGGAUGAUAAUGACAGUACCGGGAGAAUAAGCUCCGGCUAACUCCGUG
This 433-nucleotide ribosomal RNA is filed under the name uncultured bacterium. RNAcentral's name for it is "partial 16S ribosomal RNA". It matches the Rfam family "Bacterial small subunit ribosomal RNA", at positions 29 to 507 of the family's 1533-position model. The record is from RNAcentral.